Acanthosepion pharaonis is the source of this 84-nucleotide non-coding RNA. Lineage: Eukaryota; Metazoa; Mollusca; Cephalopoda; Sepiida; Sepiidae. The record is from the annotation of a GenBank genome assembly.
UCUCAUCCAAUCACCAAAGUUAAGCAAAGUUGAGCCUGGUCAGUACCUAGAUGGGUAACCGCUUGAGAAUACCAGGUACUGUUA